This 219-nucleotide long non-coding RNA is filed under the name Lathyrus oleraceus (garden pea). RNAcentral describes it as "Pisum sativum (pea) long non-coding RNA (PSAT_LNC023084)". The record is from RNAcentral. Lineage: Eukaryota; Viridiplantae; Streptophyta; Magnoliopsida; Fabales; Fabaceae.
AAACCCAAUGAAUGAGGGGUAAGGAGGAUGCCAAGGUGUGAUCCUAAAACCAAUGCAUAUGAGGAGAUAGCAUGAGGGAUCUUAGGGUCAAAAUCGGGGUCUUACAAUCACUACAAAUAUUUUUGUCAUAUUGUUGUUGUUGUUGUUGUUAUUUUUAUUGUUGUUAUUGUUUUUGUGUUGUUGUUGUUGUUGUUGUUGAGAUUCGAAACUCUAGAGUUU